RNAcentral lists this ribosomal RNA (250 nucleotides) under uncultured bacterium. Its description in RNAcentral is "partial 16S ribosomal RNA". It matches the Rfam family "Bacterial small subunit ribosomal RNA", at positions 524 to 773 of the family's 1533-position model. The record is from RNAcentral.
UACGUAGGGUGCAAGCGUUGUCCGGAUUUAUUGGGCGUAAAGAGCUCGUAGGCGGUUUUGAAAGUCAGGUGUGAAACCUCCAGCUCAACCUGGAGACGCCACUUGAUACUUCAAUGACUUGAGUUCGGUAGGGGUAAGCGGAAUUCCUGGUGUAGCGGUGAAAUGACACAGAUAUCAGGAGGAACACCGAUGGCGAAGGCAGCUUACUGGGCCGAUACUGACGCUGAGGAGCGAAAGCGUGGGAGCGAAC